UAUUAGGGAGCUGGUACAAGCACAGAGGAGAGAGGGCUCUGGACUCUGAAGCAUGCUGCCUUAUCUCGGGCGCUAAAGACUUCUCUGGAGAGCUGCUUGAGAUUCAGAUGCAAGAAAGGCUAAACAGAACGCUGGAGAUUAAAACUGAAAGGAUAUGGUCAUUUCUCUCUGGUUUCAUUGUGCCUUGACUAUCACACUGCAAGGAAGUCCAAGAUAGCACAGGACUCUCUGUACUGUACGUGCACUGGGAACCAGGCACUUUCCAUUAUAUACAUCAGUCACCACAUGCUGCAGUGAUUCCUUACAGCCGGUGCAGAUCCUUAAACACAACAGGGGAUGAAAAAGAAAUACGUCAGUUUUGAAAGCUGCCUCAUCACUGCCUGGGCAUGUGGGACACCUGUUAUUUUACCACAGCUUAUUUGAACUAAUGCUAAAUAAAACCUUGUUG
Molecule: long non-coding RNA, 448 nt
Organism: Trachemys scripta elegans
Lineage: Eukaryota; Metazoa; Chordata; Testudines; Emydidae
Exons: 3
Source: RefSeq, a predicted model, not a curated record